GAUAAACGCUGGCGGCGUGCAUGAGACAUGCAAGUCGAACGGACGAUCGAGGCUUGCUUCGAUCGUUAGUGGCGGACGGCUGAGUAACGCGUAGGCGGCCUGCCCCGAAGUGGGGAAUAACUGCCCGAAAGGGUGGCUAAUACCGCAUGUGGUGGUGUGUUCAAUCACACCAGUAAAGCCGCAAGGCGCUUCGGGAGGGGCCUGCGUCCGAUUAGCUCGUUGGUGGGGUAACGGCUCACCAAGGCGACGAUCGGUAGGUGGUCUGAGAGGACGAUCACCCAGACUGGGACUGAGACACGGCCCAGACUCCUACGGGAGGCAGCAGUCGGGAAUUUUGCGCAAUGGACGAAAGUCUGACGCAGCAACGCCGCGUGAGGGAUGACGGCC
RNAcentral lists this ribosomal RNA (387 nucleotides) under uncultured bacterium. Its description in RNAcentral is "bacterial SSU rRNA". It matches the Rfam family "Bacterial small subunit ribosomal RNA", at positions 28 to 416 of the family's 1533-position model. The record is from RNAcentral.